Molecule: non-coding RNA, 45 nt
Filed under: Bradyrhizobium japonicum USDA 6
Lineage: Bacteria; Pseudomonadati; Pseudomonadota; Alphaproteobacteria; Hyphomicrobiales; Nitrobacteraceae
Source: RNAcentral
CGGGGAUGUGCGAUCUCCCCGUGAGGCGACAUGCCCAAGUAUCGC